GUCUGAGGUUCCCGUUAGGGAGCUGCUGCAAUCGGUCCAUCUGACAUCUUCAGACCUAUGCCUGCAUUUUUCUCCCCUGACUACGGCUGACUCACUGACUGCAUCUUCCCCGAAGUGCGUUGGAGAAGCAGCCAGCUUACGGGUGACACUUGCUGCCCCCUCUUUCCCCUGGCAGGGUGACUGAUGGGCAGAUCUCUGAGCCUGGUGAGGGGCGGUGAGCUCCCCAGGGACCGCGCUGUGCCAUGCUCAGCAAUAAAGAGCUGCUGUGAGCACAGCGCUGGAGAUGUUUUGCUGUUUCGGUCGGUCUCAUGGUGGCCGUGGAGCCAGCCUGUAGCUGUACUUUGCUUUCUGUGUGCUUUCUUUCACAAGCUCUGAAAGUAGAAACUUGCAGAAACAGCUGGAGCUGCUGGGUGAGAAGAAAACCAUAUCAGGAACUGAUUUGAAUGGGAGUAACAAAAAGUUGCUGACCGGGAGGUCAGGGCUAAGGGAAGGUAGAGGCAGAGUGCCGGAGCGUGCGGCGGAGCGGGCUCAGUGCGCUGCCCUGGCUGCCCCAGUGCAGCUCUCACCAUAUAUAGCCAGCAGCUCAUGCUUUCUGCCAUGCUACCCUUUGAGACUUCAAAGAUCUCGCUCCUGAUGCAAAGCUGAGCUUCCAGUCUUCGUGGUGUUGCUGCAGCAUGCUCCAAAGGAGGCCCUGGUUUUCCUGAGAAGUUACUGGGGAGAACCCUUUUGUGGCCAAAAUAUCCAGGACUCAGCAUCCAUCCUUGAUCUCUGGAAGCCGUCUACAUAAUUCUCAAACGUUGAGAACAAAGCCAGAUGGAGCUUCGAAUGGGAGAAAAGCGUGAUUCCUGAACUGUCACCCAUGGCCCACCUUAAGGUCUGGUAAGGCCAGCUUGAUCAAAUAGAUGCACGGGGACCCUAGAGACAUUCAAAGGUUGAGCCAAAAUAUUCUGUGAGGACUGUGAUAGAAAUGGCUGGGGCAGAUUGUUCCUCCGUCAUCAGCUCUGCCUUAAAGAAAGCACUGCUGUUUUAAAUGAAGAGUGAGUAAGUGCCUUUGAAGGAUAUAGCAGGUCAGUGCAUUGGCUGAGGACCACAGCAACAGCUCCAGCUUCGCCCUGUGCAGUGUGUUUCCACCUUGCAGAGUACAACAGCAACAAGCUGUAUUUAACCAGCACCUCCGUGCACCCCACGAAAACAGUCUCUGCUGGCUGCAGCCCCGAGUCGAGGCUGGAAGCAUCAUCGUGGUGCUACGUGGUCAGGAGAAAGGGGCACGUGGGAUGUGAGAGGCAGGUGGAAAACCUCAUGCUGGAAGUGUGGGAUACGCAACUUUGCUGACUUGCUUGGAAGGCGUCCCACCUCGUUCUCCAUGUCACAGGUCUGCUGCUGGGUGUGUCAAACGACAGCUCUGCCCUCUGCAGAAAGUGAUGUGAGGAUUUCCUGCUGGCUUCAGGCUGCUCCACAGCCUUACCUGACCUCUGCCUGGGCUACAAGCAAGCCUGAGCUCUGGAAACUCUCAGGUGCAGAAAGCUCGUGUUUGGAGAAAGCCCCCUCUACCAGGUCCGUUACUGGCUUCCUCAUCGGUGAGGGACCUUUGGCACAGCCACCUGGCAUGCCAGGCGUGGGCUCGUUAACUUAAUCUGCCACCCGGGCUGGCCGAAGGUUAUAGAAAGCUUCUGGAGAACACCAGACCUCAGCAGAGAGACGUGUCCUGUCCUGGGGCUGGGAGGUAAAAUCUCGCUCAGCCUCUUGUGGAUCACGGCACCCUCUGGAGCGGGAGCACCCCGGGGUGGCCCCCGUGCAGGGCUGGGGGGCUGCAGGUGGCACCGCCAGGGCUGGCUGCUGGCAUCGCUCGGAGCUGCUGCUGCCAAGUCCCCGCGCUGGCAGGGAGCAGGAGAGCGAGCUGCAGAGGGAGCCGCGCUGUUACGAGGUGACAGGAACAAGACCUCAAGCCACGGCCAGUAACGCGCAGGUAAAAAUAUACUUUUCAUUACGAACCAAAAUAAGGGUGGGACCGAGAGUGGCUCUUUCCUCCUUUUUCCAGUAUUACUUCAUAGAGCACUUGUAGAAGACAUCCCCUUCCAUGGAAUUUGUGCUUGGCUGACGAAUUUGUGACGUCUUCGCACAAGGGCUCAUUGAAAGAUGCCCUCGAUCCAAGGUGCCACCAGUUCCUGGGAGAGCGUCCCGUCUGUGCUGCUCUCCGUGAACCCACCCUCAGGACACCGCGGCAUGAGAUGUAUUUUGGAGAUGAGCAAUGGACAGAAGUAGCUGCUGAUGCAAGUGGCUGAGAGGAGCAGGCACUUUAUUCUGCAGAGCAGUGACCAGAGCCCAGCUGAAAGCAGCGUGGCCGUGUUCGGGCUGCACAAGCAGGGCAGCACUGACUUGAACAAGAGGCAGCAUCGUGAGCAUGCUGAAACCAGCGCUGCUGGCACCGCUGCACCAAGCAGUGCCCGGCUUUCACAAGCCUCUGCAAAACAAGAGAAAUGUAAUACCCACCUCGUUACCAGCACCAGUUCCCAAACUUCUCAGUGAAGAGCUGAAAGAAAACUCACAUCCCUCCCUGGACAAAGCUUUGCUGCUCUUCUGCUGUCCGGCUGUGAGUUCGAGAGGUGCAUGCCGCUCGGGGAUAGCUCCCCAUGCCCACAAGGAGGUGGCUUCACACCACGCCUGAGGGACCUGCUGAGGCUGCCAGAUCCCCACCGGGCUGUUCUGGAACAUGUGGUGACAGCAGUUGGUGGCCAGAUGAGAGGGGGUCUGCAGAUAGCCAGUGCCAACAGGUGCCAAAGAGGCCUCUGCCCUGAGCAGCCAGAGCAGAAAGCCCCAGCUUGUGCUCCCUGAUGGUCCAUGCUGCAGCAUCUCUGGUAAGGAGCCCGGCAUGUGUGGGGCUGAGAGCUCAGUGCUGACAGUGCGUUGGGCCUGCUGAGCGAGAUUGGGAGAUGGCUUUUCUCAAAAUCUGCAUUUAAUUGAUUGUAAGUGGGGUUUGUUUGUUUCUUUGUUUGUUUUGGCCGUGUGUUUGGGGGUUUUUGAUUUGUUCUGCCAUGCAAGAAGAACUAAGUCACACUGAUUUUUCUUUCUUUCUUUUUCUUUUUUUAUUUUUUUUUUCAUUUUAUUUCUAUUUUCUCCAUUUAAAAUAGGUCCCUAGAUCACUUAAGACUUUGGCCAUUGUAUAGCUUUCUAUGGUGCCACAUGGCUACAGGCUCCAGGGCUAUGGUCAUUGAAAAAAUCCUCCUAAGGGAAUUCCUAAGGGAAUUUUCUGAAAGGAUGAGGUUUGCUAUAAGGUAUCUUAGUCGUGCUCAUGCAGGCAUAUUGUUACUACAGAAGAGAUUUCUUGGCAACCGUGGGCUCCUGGGCUUAUAUUUCAGCAUCAGUGAAAGAGGCUGUAAAGAGCAAGAGCUCUUCGGAAAGUCCCCCUUGGGUUCCUGAUAUGACAAAACUACCAUUUGACCUCAAGCCAAGUAUGUCUCAAGUAUGAGACCCUCUCUGUUUCUAAAGUGAUUUGAGACAUGCACGUUUCUGUAGAAAUGCAAGCCGGGGCUGCUGUAUGAUGCCCUGUAGCCCAGUGGGUCUGGAGGAACUGGUUCGCUGCCCAUAGCCAAAAAAGCAGUUCUUCAAAGCAGUGCCUGUCACAGCUUCCUUUGCUGUGGGCUCUUUAAUUUUGUGGUUAUGACCUGCAGUUUAUUUCUGUGGCAACGACUGUGUUGUUGUAAUAAUCACAUAAUCACUUCACUGCUAUUAGAAGAGGUUUAUCUGUGAGUAUCAUUUUAGAAACAACGGUCUGGGUCCAGAUCUUCAAAGACGCAUCCACAGACACCAAGCUGCAUUGAUGUCAGUGAAGCAAAACGAAUGCCCCCAACUGAAAUAGCAAGCAAACAAAAUUAAAGCUGAUGUGGGUUUCUUGGGCAUUGAGUCAGAAGGCAGCGAGCUGAGCACGCGGCUGUUUCUCCUCUCGCCUGCCUCAGCAGGACAGACCUACAGGGAGCCGAGGCCGUGGCCAGCACAAACGCUCUCAUCGGUGCUUCACUUCACUUUUUCACUUCACUGCCAGCGCCCGUCUCUGUUUUCCCUUCCUCAAGGACUUCCAUUACUCAUGGACUGUUUUCCUUCCCUCUGCUAAGUGAUGUACGAACUGUUUGUACACUCCAGGCUGGCUUCUGACGUCCGUCCCUUCUGUGUGCGCGCAGAGCGAGGGCGCUCCCCGCAGCGCAGCGGGUCAGCGGGCUGCCAGGCCGCAGGCUGGGCCCAGGGGGAAGGCGAGGGCUUGCCACCAGCUCUCAGGGAUCAGAAUUUGUCCCAGCUCCUCCAAUUACUUACUAGUUUUGAACAUGUCGUAUCUCUUCACUGACGAGUUCAGGACGUAACAUGGGCUCCACUGGGAUGAAUGCCGAGUGCAAUCAGUGGGAGGCUAAGGGAGAAACAUCUUCCCUUGGUUCAAACUCCUGAACGGCCAUAGGUCAUGCUUCCUAGUUCUAUCUGCUGUGGGUUCUGUUCGCUUUAAGCUUUUUUAGAACAUAGUCAAGGUUUUUUGUUUUCAGGUGUACACACACAUGCCUGUUGAAUUAAAUAAAUGAGCAGCCUGCCCACGUGAGGCCAUCCUACCGAGGAUGUGUAGGACACCACACCCACCUAGUCUUUAAUGCCAUGCCUUGGUUUGAAUGAUAGUCUUUUGUAAUGUGUUGAUUGACUCUAUUUUAAGGGAAUGCCUAACAGAAGUCAGGCUACUGCUAACAUAAAAUGAGCAAAGAAAAAUACAGUGCAUGUGCUUUCCUGAAAAUUUUAUUUUCUCCUGAUAAGUAGGAGUAAGAAAGCCAGCACUCAGAGAACACAGCAGGUUAUCAGGGAGGUUGGUUUGGCUGGCAUAGAAAUCAUUUUUCAGAUUAUAUGAUUUUCCAUUAACUAUUGACUGCAUAAUCAGUUGGAGAAGUUAGACUCUUCUGAGAAAGGUAAGAGUCAUGCAAGCUGUUUGAUCCAACACGAGCACUUCAUCCUCGCCUGAAGCAGCUGGGUGAAUGAACAUCACUUUUCUCUUCUGUGUGUGAUGUGGGUUCCGAGUCAGCAUUAUAAAACAAGCCUCUUCACCUGCUGCUUUGCCUCAUUACAUUUCCAUAGCCCAAAUUGGAUCAAGCACCAGCGGAAAAAUCCCCACACCCAACAGUGCAAGCAUGGGCUUGCCUCGGCCCCGUGCUCCGUAGCCAGUGGGUGCUGAGAGACCCCUUCCCGGCCCCUGGCUGCUCCUAGCACCCAACCCACAGCUCAGAAGCCCUGGGUCUGCCCGUUCUGCCCUGCGCUCUUCAUGCUGGUGGUGCUCGCCUGUGUAGGUACGUGGACUUGGCAAAUAAUAUUUGUGGCUGUAUAGAGACGUUCUGCAAUCUGGUCAUUCAUGCAUGGUCUUGAUUAGAAUGUAGUUACCAAGAGUUGGCUCUGGUGUUAUUUUUGGCAAGGUUGGGUAGGCAGAAUUUGAUUUUUGCUUUUUUUCUAAAUGUCCUGCUUUUCCUUUUUUGUGAUGCUGCAGUCUUUUCAAGGCUAUUGGACUCACCACGCAACAUGUGCUCCUUGUUGCCAUGUGUGUUUAUUUUUUGCCUCACAUUCAGAUUAUUAUUAAUAUUGAUGCUCAAAAUAAUUCUUGUGCCGUUUCUAGAAGGAUGUGCAAACUGAGCCACUUUCCAUUUAAUAUUAACUGAAAUUCCCUGGAAUGUUAUCAUCUGCAUGGCAACCAGCAGCCCAUCUGCACCUAAUGGCAAUGCUACAGAGUGAAGGAGCUUUGCUUGGUAAAUAUGCAUUGUGAAAAUCCUCAUCAGAUCUGAUCUUGGGCAUGGUGGGAAAAGCCACUCUUUCCCUAAAAGCAGCAGCAGGUCCCAUCACAUUUCACCUGUGAAUAAUGGACAGCAGUGAUUCACCCUGCAGUUAGUCUCAUAAAAGUCCACUCUUUAUUCUAUAAGACGAACAGGAGUGAUAAUUUUAUAGACAAGCGUUGUUGUUGGUAAGCCCUUUCUGGGUCAGCUUAUACCAACACGUGUAACCCCUCCCGGCGUGCUCCCAGCUUCACCCAGCCUGGCAGAUCUACGAGGCAGCUCAAAGGUAGGCGCUGGAGCGGGGUGUUAGAGGGGACGUGCUGGACCAGACGCAUCUUCAGAGUUGGGUACAAAACUGCACAUGAACCAUGUAUCUAAACUUAGGAGUCCUGAGCUCUACUAUUUAAGGGAAAAAGAAGAGUAUCAAGUGCUUGCCAGGGAGGAAGAAACAUCCAAGUGCUAGUCAGAGAAAGGAUCUUCACAUCUGCUGGUCUUCUGCCCAGGGGUGAUACCAGUGCAGGUUCCCUAUUUGGGGUUAUGCCUUCCCUCAAGUUAAUGGUACUCUUCUGCUUACAAAAAUCUGUACAGUAUUUAUUUUGCUGUAUAUUAACUAUUCCUCUUCUGUUUUUUCUACAUACAUGGCUGCUUCAGCUGCUUUAUGUGUUAAUGCAGUACUUUCCAUUAAGCGGUCCUAUGAGUACAUCAAAAAUAAACACUCUUAUAACAACAUGCAUAAGAUUAAACUG
Long non-coding RNA from Cygnus olor (mute swan), 6529 nucleotides. RefSeq lists it as uncharacterized. NCBI's taxonomy places the organism in Eukaryota, Metazoa, Chordata, Aves, Anseriformes, Anatidae. The record is from RefSeq and is a predicted model, not a curated record. The transcript has 9 exons.